UGGGCUUUCUUACUAGUUACUACUUUCUCAAUUCGUAAAUUCAAUUGAGAAAUUGAUUAGAUUAAUCUAUUGUAGAAAAGGAUAAACAAGAUAAAAGAAACUAAUACAAACUAAUCUUCAUUUCAUAAUUACAUCAGAUAAGUUUACAACAUAUAUAAAGAGUUCUAACUCCUAUAGAUUAGGGAUAACCGUCUACUAAAAUAACUACCUGGAGAUGGGUCAAAAACUUUUAUUCUACAGAUGGGCUAAGCGCUUUACAGAACAUAGAUAUUAAUAUAACUACAACAAAUAAUUGAGAAGUGAUUCAAUCAAUGCCGCCCCUUUAAGAAGCAGGCUGACCACGGCUGCUUAAUAAUAAGCCAAUUAAUCACCUGGAAUGUCAUCUACAAUGACCUCUUCACCAUGAACUGGAGACACCAAGAUAGCCAUAAUCGGCUUUUUACAGAACAUAGAUAUUUAUAUAACUACAACAGAUAAUUAAGAAGUGAUUCCAUCAAUGCCGCCCCCUUGAGAAGCAGGCCGACCAUGGCUGCUUAAUAAGCCAAUUAGUCACCUGGAAUGUCAUCUACAACGACCUCCUCACCAUGAACUGGAGACACCAAGAUAGCCAUAAUUGGCUUUUUACAAACAUAUCAUGACCUCGACCAUUUCUCAUCACAACUAAAGCAAAGACCCUGAGCUCUUCUUUUUUGAUGAUCACGAGAAGACAUAUCACAUCCCGACCCUAAAAUAUUUACCUUAUUUAUUAGCUUGAUUAUAAUAAAAAUUUUACUGUUUCCGUCAUUGAGGUUAUAGUUUAAUUGGUC
Molecule: long non-coding RNA, 806 nt
Filed under: Fragaria vesca (wild strawberry)
Lineage: Eukaryota; Viridiplantae; Streptophyta; Magnoliopsida; Rosales; Rosaceae
Description: long non-coding RNA (FVES_LNC001510)
Source: RNAcentral